UUAUUAGGCAGUUUCUAAUAUUUUCCAGGUGGUUGCUAACUGGUUGCUAUGGUAUCUGGGGUGGUUGCUAAGGUGUUGCUAGGUGGUUGCUAAGGUGUUGCUAUGGUAUCUGGGGUGGUUGCUAAGGUGUUGCUAGGUGGUUGCUAGAGGGUUGCUAGGUGGUUGCUAAGGUGUUGCUAUGGGAUCCGGGGUGGUUGCUAAGGUGUUGCUAUGGUAUCCGGGUUAGUUGCUAAGGUGUUGCUAGGUGGUUGCUAAGGUGUUGCUAUGGUAUCCAGGGUGGUUGCUAAGGUGUUGCUAGGUGGUUGCUAGGGUGUUGCUAGGCGGUUGCUAUGGUAUCCAGGGUGGUUGCUAAGGUGUUGCUAGGUGGUUGCUAAGGUGUUGCUAGGUGGUUGCUAUGGUGUUGCUAUGGUAUCCUGGGUGGUUGCUAAGGUGUUGCUAGGUGGUUGCUAGGCAGUUGCUAAGGUGUUGCUAUGGUGUCCUGGGUGGUUGCUAAGGUGUUUCUAGGUGGUUGCUAAGGUGUUGCUAGGUGGUUGCUAAGGUGUUGCUAGGUGGUUGCUAAGGUGUUGCUAUGGUAUCCGGGGUGGUUGCUAAGGUGUUGCUAGGUGGUUGCUAGGCGGUUGCUUAAGUGUUGCUAUGGUAUCCGGGGUGGAUGCUAUGGUGUGGUUGCUAAGGUGUUGCUAGGUGGUUGCUAGGCAGUUGCUAAGGUGUUGCUAUGGUGUCCUGGGUGGUUGCUAAGGUGUUUCUAGGUGGUUGCUAAGGUGUUGCUAGGUGGUUGCUAAGGUGUUGCUAGGUGGUUGCUAAGGUGUUGCUAUGGUAUCCGGGGUGGUUGCUAAGGUGUUGCUAGGUGGUUGCUAGGGUGUUGCUAGGCGGUUGCUAUGGUAUCCAGGGUGGUUGCUAAGGUGUUGCUAGGUGGUUGCUAAGGUGUUGCUAGGUGGUUGCUAUGGUGUUGCUAUGGUAUCCUGGGUGGUUGCUAAGGUGUUGCUAGGUGGUUGCUAGGCAGUUGCUAAGGUGUUGCUAUGGUGUCCUGGGUGGUUGCUAAGGUGUUUCUAGGUGGUUGCUAAGGUGUUGCUAGGUGGUUGCUAAGGUGUUGCUAGGUGGUUGCUAAGGUGUUGCUAUGGUAUCCGGGGUGGUUGCUAAGGUGUUGCUAGGUGGUUGCUAGGCGGUUGCUUAAGUGUUGCUAUGGUAUCCGGGGUGGAUGCUAUGGUGUGGUUGCUAAGGUGUUGCUAGGUGGUUGCUAAGGUGUUGCUAUGGUGUCCAGGGUGGUUGCUAAGGUGUUGCUAGGUGGUUGCUAAGGUGUUGCUAUGGUAUCCUGGGUGGUUGCUAAGGUGUUUCUAGGUGGUUGCUAAGGUGUUGAUAGGUGGUUGCUAAGGUGUUGCUAGGUGGUUGCUAAGGUGUUGCUAUGGUAUCCGGGGUGGUUGCUAAGGUGUUGCUAGGUGGUUGCUAGGCGGUUGCUUAAGUGUUGCUAUGGUAUCCGGGGUGGAUGCUAUGGUGUGGUUGCUAAGGUGUUGCUAGGUGGUUGCUAAGGUGUUGCUAGGUGGUUGCAAGGUGGUUGCUAAGGUGUUGCUAGGCGGUUGCUAAGGUGUUGCUAUGGUGUCUAGGGUGGUUGCUAAGGUGUUGCUAGGUGGUUGCUAAGAUGUUGCUAUGGUAUCUGGGGUGGUUGCUAAAGUGUUGCUAGGUGUAUCUAACUGGUCGCUAGGCAGUUGCUACCAUUUCUAAAGUGGUUGCUAAGCAGUUGCUAACGUUUUCCAGGUGGUUGCUAAGGUGUUGCUAUCUGGUUGCUAGGCAGUUGCUAACGUAUUAUACAUGGUUGCUAAGUGGUUGCUAGGCAGUUGCUAAUGUUUUCCAGGUGGUUGCUAAGGUGUAUCUAACUGGUUCCUAGGCAGUAGUAGAUAAAAAGAAAGAGUGUUAAAUGUAGAAGUACAGAAAAAGGGAGAGCCUGAAAUAGAGAAGUAGAGAGAAAAUCAGCGUGAGAAGUAGAGAAAGAACACCCGAGAAUGUGAGAAAAAGAGUGACAAGUAGAGAGAAAUAUUGAGCGAGAGAAAGAGAAUUAGGGAAAAAGAGAGAUCGAGAAAUAAAGAAGUAGAGAAAGAAAAAGGAUGUAGUAGAGAGAUAGAUAGAAAGAGAAAGCAAGACAGAAAAGUAGAGUGAAAGAGAAGUAGAGAGAAGAGCGAGAAAUAAAGAGAGAGUAAGAGAGAAAUAGAGAAAUAGAAAAGUAGAAAGAAAGAGACAUAGAAAAGUAGAGAGAGUGAGAAAGAGAGAGUGAGAAAUAGAGAAGUAGAGAGAGAGUGAGAAAGAGAGAGUGAGAAAUAGAGAAGUAGAGAGAGUGAGAAAUAGAGACGUAGAGAGAGAGUGAGAAAGAGAGUGAGAAAUAGAGAAGUAGAGAGAGAGUGAGAAAUAGAGACGUAGAGAGAGAGUGAAAAAGAGAGUGAGAAAUAUAGAAGUAGAGAGAGUGAGAAAUAAAGAGAAAUAGAGACGUAGAGAGAGAGUGAAAAAGAGAGUGAGAAAUAUAAAAGUAGAGAGAGUGAGAAAUAUAGAAGUAGAGAGAGAGAGUGAGAAAUAGAGACGUAGAGAGAGAGUGAGAAAGAGUGAGAAAUAGAGAAGUAGAGAGAGUGAGAAAUAGAGACGUAGAAAAGAGUGAGAAAGAGAGAGUGAGAAAUAGAGAAGUAGAGAGAGAGUGAGAAAUAGAGACGUAGAGAGAGAGUGAGAAAUAGAGAAGUAGAGAGCAAAAGAGAGAGUGAGAAGUAGAGAGCAAAAGAGAGAGUGAGACAGAGAAGUAGAGAGCAAACGAGAGAGUGAGAAGUAGAGAAGUAGAGAGCAAAAGAAAGAGUGAGAAAUAGAGAAGUAGAGAGAGUGGGAAAGAUAGAGUGAGAAUUAGAGAAGUAGAGAGAGAGUGAGAAAGAGAGAGUGAGAUAGAGAAGUAGAGAGAGAGUGAGAAAGAGACGUAGAGAGAGUGAGAAAGAGAGAGUGAGAUAGAGAAGUAGAGAGAGAGUGAGAAAUAGAGUGAGAAAUAGAGACGUAGAGAGAGAGUGAGAAAUAGAGUGAGAAAUAGAGACGUAGAGAGAGAGUGAGAAAGAGAGUGAGAAAUAGAGGAGUAGAGAGCAAAAGAGAGUGAGAAAUAGAGAAGUAGAGAGCAAAAGAGAGAGUGAGAAGUAGAGAAGUAGAGAGCAAAAGAAAGAGUGAGAAAUAUAGAAAUAGAGAGAGAGUGGGAAAGAGAGUGAGAAUUAGAGAAGUAGAGAGCGAAAGAGAGAGUGAGAAAGAGAGAGUGGUUGCUAAGCAGUUAAUAGGUGGUUGCUAAACCCUGGCUGGGGUGCCGGGGUGUCCAAACUUUUGACUGAUAGCUGCUCCAUACAGCAGCUCCUCCAUACACUCACAGUACUGGAGGAGCAGGGGAGAGAAGGGGUUCCGUGCGCAGAGCUGCUCGUGUGCGAGAUGGAACUCUGGGCCCCCCAUUCAUUUCUAUGGGAAAACUUCGUACGAAAAUUGUACGAAAACCGUACGUCGUAUCGCUUCGCAACCUGCUAUUAAUUUAAAGAUCUCGGUAAGAUCUAUAAGCUCGCCAAAUUUGGUCUUCGUAUCUCAAAAAUUGUGGCGGUUACGGACGUUUAAAAUUUCGCCCCAUUCAUUCCUAUGGGGAAAAAAUGCGUACGUUUACGAAGUUUUUACGAAAACCGUACGAUAAAUCGCUCCAAAAAGCACAAGCACGCUAAGUUGGCAUAGGUCCUACGAUCCGUGAAAGUUUCGUGAUUCUACGUUGAAAGCUCUAGGAGGAGUAGCGUACAGAAAAAAAGGCGUAAGAAUAAUAAUAAUAAUAAUAAUAAUAAUAAUAAUAAGAAGAUUACGAAGAACAAGAAGUUGGCUUUUCCAAGCCAACUUAAUAAGAAGAUUACGAAGAACAAGAAGUUGGCUUUUCCAAGCCAACUUAAUAAGAAGAUUACGAAGAACAAUAAGUUGGCUUUUCCAAGCCAACUUAAUAAGAAGAUUACGAAGAACAGUAAGUUGGCUUUUCCAAGCCAACUUAAU
This is a long non-coding RNA of Astyanax mexicanus (Mexican tetra), 4020 nucleotides long. RefSeq lists it as uncharacterized. The transcript is spliced from 3 exons. The record is from RefSeq and is a predicted model, not a curated record. Lineage: Eukaryota; Metazoa; Chordata; Actinopteri; Characiformes; Acestrorhamphidae.